AGCGAACGCUGGCGGCAGGCCUAACACAUGCAAGUCGAGCGGCCGUAGCAAUACGGCAGCGGCAGACGGGAGAGUAACACGUGGGAACGUGCCCUUCAGUUCGGAACAACCCAGGGAAACUUGGGCUAAUACCGGAUACGCCCUUACGGGGAAAGAUUUAUCGCUGAAGGAGCGGCCCGCGUCUGAUUAGCUAGUUGGUGAGGUAACGGCUCACCAAGGCGACGAUCCGUAGCUGGUCNGAGAGGAUGAUCA
This 252-nucleotide ribosomal RNA is filed under the name uncultured bacterium. Its description in RNAcentral is "partial 16S ribosomal RNA". It matches the Rfam family "Bacterial small subunit ribosomal RNA", at positions 29 to 306 of the family's 1533-position model. The record is from RNAcentral.